Molecule: ribosomal RNA, 500 nt
Filed under: uncultured bacterium
Lineage: Bacteria
Description: partial 16S ribosomal RNA
Rfam family: Bacterial small subunit ribosomal RNA
Source: RNAcentral
AUUGAACGCUGGCGGAAUGCUUUACACAUGCAAGUCGAACGGCAGCACGGACUUCGGUCUGGUGGCGAGUGGCGAACGGGUGAGUAAUACAUCGGAACGUGCCCAAUCGUGGGGGAUAACGUAGCGAAAGCUACGCUAAUACCGCAUACGAUCUAAGGAUGAAAGCGGGGGAUCGCAAGACCUUGCGCGAUUGGAGCGGCCGAUGGCAGAUUAGGUAGUUGGUAGGGUAAAGGCCUACCAAGCCGACGAUCUGUAGCUGGUCUGAGAGGAUGAUCAGCCAGACUGGGAGUGAGACACGGACCAGACUCCUACGGGAGGCAGCAGUGGGGACUUUUGGACAAUGGACGCAAGUCUGAUCCAGCCAUUCCGCGUGCAGGAUGAAGGCCCUCGGGUUGUAAACUGCUUUUGUACAGAACGAAAAGGCUCUGGUUAAUACCUAGGGCUCAUGACGGUACUGUAAGAAUAAGCACCGGCUAACUACGUGCCAGCCGCCGCGGUAA